This 356-nucleotide ribosomal RNA is filed under the name Bifidobacterium ruminantium. RNAcentral describes it as "bacterial SSU rRNA". It matches the Rfam family "Bacterial small subunit ribosomal RNA", at positions 158 to 524 of the family's 1533-position model. Lineage: Bacteria; Bacillati; Actinomycetota; Actinomycetes; Bifidobacteriales; Bifidobacteriaceae. The record is from RNAcentral.
GGGUGGUAAUGCCGGAUGCUCCAGUUGGAUGCAUGUCCUUCUGGGAAAGAUUCUAUCGGUAUGGGAUGGGGUCGCGUCCUAUCAGGUAGUCGGCGGGGUAACGGCCCACCGAGCCUACGACGGGUAGCCGGCCUGAGAGGGCGACCGGCCACAUUGGGACUGAGAUACGGCCCAGACUCCUACGGGAGGCAGCAGUGGGGAAUAUUGCACAAUGGGCGCAAGCCUGAUGCAGCGACGCCGCGUGCGGGAUGACGGCCUUCGGGUUGUAAACCGCUUUUGACUGGGAGCAAGCCCUUCGGGGUGAGUGUACCUUUCGAAUAAGCACCGGCUAACUACGUGCCAGCAGCCGCGGUAAU